AUCCAGCUGACGAGUCCCAAACAGGACGAAACGCACGUUUCGAAU
Schistosoma margrebowiei is the source of this 45-nucleotide non-coding RNA. Lineage: Eukaryota; Metazoa; Platyhelminthes; Trematoda; Strigeidida; Schistosomatidae. The record is from Rfam.